This 966-nucleotide ribosomal RNA is filed under the name Trigonopterus sp. 819 AR-2022a. RNAcentral's name for it is "SSU rRNA". Lineage: Eukaryota; Metazoa; Arthropoda; Insecta; Coleoptera; Curculionidae. The record is from RNAcentral.
GUCAUAUGCUUGUYUCAAAGAUAAGCCAUGCAUGUCUCAGUACAAGCCAAAUUAAGGUGAAACCGCAAAAGGCUCAUUAAAUCAGUUAUGGUUCCUUAGAUCGUACCCACAAUUACUUGGAUAACUGUGGUAAUUCUAGAGCUAAUACAUGCAAACAGAGCUCCGACCGGAGACGGAAGGAGUGCUUUUAUUAGAUCAAAACCAAUCGGUGGCGGGUUCGCCCGUCAUCGUACAACUUGGUGACUCUGAAUAACUUUACGCUGAUCGCACGGUCAUCGCACCGGCGACGCAUCUUUCAAAUGUCUGCCUUAUCAACUGUCGAUGGUAGGUUCUGCGCCUACCAUGGUUGUAACGGGUAACGGGGAAUCAGGGUUCGAUUCCGGAGAGGGAGCCUGAGAAACGGCUACCACAUCCAAGGAAGGCAGCAGGCGCGCAAAUUACCCACUCCCGGCACGGGGAGGUAGUGACGAAAAAUAACGAUACGGGACUCAUCCGAGGCCCCGUAAUCGGAAUGAGUACACUCUAAACCCUUUAACGAGGAUCAAUUGGAGGGCAAGUCUGGUGCCAGCAGCCGCGGUAAUUCCAGCUCCAAUAGCGUAUAUUAAAGUUGUUGCGGUUAAAAAGCUCGUAGUCGAAUUUGUGUCUCGCGCCGCCGGUUCAUCGUCCGCGGUGUUAACUGGCGAGUCGCGAGACGUCCUGCCGGUGGGCUUAGCUCGCGAGGGCGGCCCAACUCAAUCCUGCCGCGGUGCUCUUCAUUGAGUGUCGAGGUGGGCCGGCACGUUUACUUUGAACAAAUUAGAGUGCUUAAAGCAGGCUAAAACUUCGCCUGAAUACUGUGUGCAUGGAAUAAUGGAAUAGGACCUCGGUUCUAUUUUGUUGGUUUUCGGAACCCCGAGGUAAUGAUUAAUAGGAACGGAUGGGGGCAUUCGUAUUGCGACGUUAGAGGUGAAAUUCUUGGAUCGUCGC